Helicoverpa zea (corn earworm) is the source of this 829-nucleotide long non-coding RNA. RefSeq lists it as uncharacterized. The transcript has 2 exons. Lineage: Eukaryota; Metazoa; Arthropoda; Insecta; Lepidoptera; Noctuidae. The record is from RefSeq and is a predicted model, not a curated record.
AAAACCGGGAGACUUGCCCAGGUGGGAGAGUUGAACCACUUUUCAAAAUUGUAGUUGAAUUUAUCGCGAACGAAACGUCAAUGCGUUCACUGGUCGCACUCAAGAGGCCAAUCAUAAGUAUGCAGCCAUUUUGCAUCUUAGUGGUAUAGUUCGUCAGUGACAAUGUAAAACGUGUUUUUGUUGCUGCGGAGUGUAUUUUCUUGUUUUAAGUAGUUUUGUGAUUGCUGUCAUAUUUAUUGAGUGCCAACUUGUACGAUGGCUUUUCAGUACAAGCCUCCUGAAAAUGCUCGCAAACGAAAAAAAAACACAAAAAUGGAAUUGCAAAAUGCCAUAGAUGAAAUUAAGGGAGGCGCUUCUAUUCGACAAACUUAAAAUAAAUAUGGCAUAGAUAGAACUACUAUAUAAAUUAGAUGAAGAUAAAAUUAAUAAAUUUGAAGAAAAAAACAGUCAAUAUAAAGCAUCACAGGUGUUUACAACGGCCGAGGAAAAGCUUCUUGUCAAUUAUUUGUUGACAUGCAGUAAAAUGCAUUAUGGUUUGACAAGAAAACAAUCAAUGCAGUUGGUUUUUGAAUAUGCGACAGUGAAUUCAAAGAAGUUUCCUGAGAGCUGGACGAAGAACAACUCCGCUGGGAAAGAUUGGUUUCGAGGCUUUCUUUCCCGAAAUCCAGAAAUAAGUUUAAGAACCCCCGAAGCCACCAGCUUGUCUCGGUCAACCAGCUUUAAUAAAAAAAAAUGUGGAAGAUUUUUUCACAAAUUUUAGGACAGUUCUUGAUAGAUAUAAGUUGAGGCUCAUAAGGCAAGAUAUUAAAACUAUGAUUGAAGCCGAAAA